Molecule: long non-coding RNA, 2889 nt
Filed under: Mus musculus (house mouse)
Lineage: Eukaryota; Metazoa; Chordata; Mammalia; Rodentia; Muridae
Description: long non-coding RNA chr6:88742726-88745615
Source: RNAcentral
CAACUGAGAGAGUGCCCUGAGACAGGGGUCAGUGAGCAGAGGGAGAGAGGGCCAGCUGGCCACUGUGGUAGCCACUGUGGUAGCCAGGUGAGCUUUGAGCAGAAGUGACAUUUGAGCUCUGGAUAGGAACCUGCUGGCCAGAGCUGAGCCAGGCCCUGGGAUGUUGCAGGUCUUGAAGUCCAUUGGCAAUGAUGCUUUCUGGCUCCUUGUCCGGCUAAGGUCACUUUGGAGGCUUGACUCCCUUCCAGCCACUUAGCUCCAGCAUUGUAUCACAUGGUUCCACGUGGACAUUGCUCUGACCUCUGCACUCACCUGCCUGUUUGCGAUUCUUGUGGUAGCUGUUUCGAACUCUGUGCUUUUCUUCUUCGCUUAUUUAUAUAUUUUUUCUCUCUCCCCUUUUGCUCUUUAAAUCUAUUUUUCAAAGAAAUAAUAGGGCUAGAGAGAUGUCUUAGUGUUAGGGGCACUUGCAGGACAGAGUUCCAAUCCCAAGCACCCAUAAGGGACCGUAUACAACUAUCUGUGACUUCAUCGUCAGGGGAUCUCAUGUCCUCUACCCCCACAUAUGUAUGUAGUUUAAAUUACUAAAAAUAAAUCUUGAAAAUAAACUACAUUCUAAUGCAGGAUGUGAGAAGGAAGGUUGCCGUAAAUAAGUGACCACGGGAACAAAGGAAGCCAUGGAGCUGGCUUUCAGCUCUGUACAGGGACUUGCGUGAGACCCCCCCCUAAGCCUCACAUCCUGGGGGUUCACACCCGCCUAAUGCCCUCUCUCCAAGAGGCUAAGCAUGAGGUGAAUCUGGCCCUAAACAACAUGCCCCUGCUGUACUACAAUAUCAUUGAAUGUCACACCAAAAUACAGCCCGCUGCAGGCAUCAUGUAGGCCGAGAGAUGGUGUUCUGUGAGCAUGGAUUCGUCAUAUGGGUUAGACAAAGUGGCGCCCCCCAAAGAAUUAAGCCCCUGGUCCAGAUUCUGUUUUGCUUCAUACAGCUCUCUCCGUUCAAAAGCUGCCUUCCGUGUGAGUGUGUUGUUCUCUUCCUGUGUAGUAUGUAACAGGGCUGGCUUGCUGCCAGGCUGGCUGGUGUCUGAGGAGAAUGAGGUAGAGCCAACCCAGGGCACCCCUUGUUCCAAGCCUGGAGAUGGGCAGCUACCUUUAGAAGAGGAGAGAGGGCAGCCCCUCUCCUGCCACCGUGCAGCAGAAAGAAGGCUGGCUUGGGAAGGAGCUGUAAGGGCCUGGGAGCUGGUGGGUCCCACCAACACCUGGCCUCUGGCUAUCCUUUCCCGAGAUCCUAGGACAGCUGUGAAGCUCUUCAUUAAUGCACCACGUGGUUUCCCACAGCCCAUUAGUGAUUUCCCAGAAGGCCAGUUCCCAAUAUUGAUCUGGAUGCGGCUCCGAGGAGCCCUUUGGCAUCGGAUCCUUUCUGGAGCCAGCCAGGGCCCUGGUGAGCCCUCUGAAGAGAUUCCACAUGCUAAUGAGGGGUCUGGUCGCCCAGCUCCAUCCGUACAGAGCCACUCUCUGUGGAAACAGGCCACUCCCAGAAGUUGCAUCCCCCAAACAUACCGAGUGGGUUUGAGACAGGAGACACGUGCACGUGCCUGGUGUUGGAAGAGUAAUCAUUUCUAAAGAAGUUCCUAACCUGGUUUAUGGAAGGCAAUUACCAAUCUCCCUUCAGUGGGACUGACGUGUUUUCGGCACCUCUCAGAGACUACAGGAGGAAAGAAAUGUGGAGAGGAUAAUUAAGCUUAAUGAGGGAACCCGGAUGUCAUUUCCUCUCCAUAUGAUAGCACCCUGGGCCCCAGCACUCUCUGCUGUUCACUGCCCUUUGCAUUCUACUGGCAGUAACUAGUUAGACCCUGGAGGGAGAGACAUGUCUCUGAUCAAACUCUCAGACCUGGUAACUUCAUGUGGUGCCUAGCCGAGGGAACAUGUUUGUUGGUUUCAUCCUGCAGAUGUCAUGGGUACUUACACACAAGAGAAAUGGCUAUGGCAGGACCGAGUGAGGUCAUCUUAUGGACACCAUCGUGUCCGUGGUCUGUCUCAGACCAUCUUAUAUAAAAUGACACACGGCUGUAUCUCUUCAAUUCUUUUUUGCCGUUUCUAUUUUUCUAAGUUUUAAGACAUUAAGAAAAUGAAAAUGAUAAUAUUUGUGGGAUGUCUUGUGACACAUGUAUAUGUUGUAUAGUGUUCAAAGCAAGGUGGGGACAUUUGUAAUCUCCUUGUGAGGAACUGCAUUUAUAUCCUCUCUGCUAGCGCUUCUGGCCCAUCACUGUUUGAAAGGUCACAUCCAGCCACUGUCACAGGACAGCAGAACUCACUUCUGUGUCUUGGCACCAUCUGUGUCUCUGCUACUCUAGGAAGCAGUUCUGGUUCUGGGGGACAGGACACGAUGUCCUUGUACCCCAGGACAUUCAGCUUGCUAACACCCUUCUCACUCUGUCCAGCAUUCCACACAGUAAGAUCCUUAUCGCACUCAAACGCGGCCUCAGAGCCUAAGCCGGUUCCCGAUCAAAGUUCUCAGUGGCUCUUUCCUCCCCUCUUUCAGUCAUAAGCACAGAAGCCAGGGCCUCAUCACGCUAGGCAAAGUCUCUACCCCGGAGCCACACCCCCAGCCCUCAGGCUGGUGACACGCAUGGGUCCUCCUGGUCAUUGUGUCAGGUCACAGUUGUGGCCAAAGCAGCCCUCUGGUCACUGCCCGAGGCUUCUCUUCCUCUAGGAAAAUAAAUAUAUUUAUAUAUAAUUGGAAAAUGCUUUUGCUGGGUGGUGGUGGCACACACCCUUAAUCCCAGCACUCAGUAGGCAGAAGCAGGCAGAUCUCUAAGAAACCAGCCUGGUCUACAGAUUGAGUUUCAGGACUACACAGGGCUACACAGAGAAACUCUGUCUUUAAAAAAUGU